CUGCAUUGCCUAUCUUCACAUGGAUCUUUCCAUCGGAAAAUCAUCAUAGGCCUCCAUUCACAGUAUUUUUGAAUUUUUGAACCACUUGUUCUACUAACUGCGGAUUGAUGAAUCAUUGGCACAUUAGUUGUACUAUGUACCCUUCUCAAUGGAGGAGGAUGAAGUUUUGUGGCUGCUGCUGCUGUAGGAAUGAGAUGAUAUACCUCUUGACAACUUCACUGCUUAAAAAACGUGAGUUCCUGCUUGUGGCCCGUUGACCCAGCAAAGCGGACAGUGUCGCUGCAAUGCGUGCUGCUGGCCUGUUAUCGCUACGAAUCAAGUAAUCAACAGGUGUAUUUUGAGCUGUUGCCCAUCUCAGCUCACUUGUGGGAGCUUAUGUUCAUCCAUCUGGUUUUCUCACCGUCUCUCCCGUCUCCUCCGACGCCCCAUGAAUCCAUGAUGCAGUCCCUCAAUAGCCCGAUCUGGCAGUGAGGGGCUUGGUUUGAAUCCAGGAUGUGAGGAUGCCAUGGGGUCGCUGAGCUUGGGAGCGGCUAAACAGCUUCAGAGGUCGUCAUUUAAUAAUUAAUAUAAUAAUAAGUGUGCAUAUUUUAUGUUCAAAUCUUAACGUUAUGAAAUAGUAUAGGCAAGUACUUCCAAUUAUCUCAAUUAGUUAGGUUUUUCCGUAGCAAAGCAUGAGUGUUCUGCUAGUAUACUCGAUAAAUGCGGGUUUUGAUUCCCCUUCAGGCGUGUGUUUGGUUUGGGGGUGGAUGUGGGUUGGAACGAGUUCGACCCCUAUUAACCCCCGUUUGGUUGGAAAUGUAGUGGGUUGGGUUCGUCCCCCAUAGGGAAUAUUCCCCGUAGACGUGGGUCCAAUGCUGGGGAGAAGGAGGGGCGGCGGUAGGGAACAGCCAUCCGGUGGAGGAGAGGGGCGGCCGACGGCGCAAAGAGAGGGAGGAGAGGGGAGGGGCGACGCCGUGGAGGCCGGCGCGGGUGGAGGCGGUGCCCAAGGGAGCUCGGGCUCCGCCUAGGGAGCUCCGGCGGCCGGGGCGGGAGGUGUUGGAGGAGGUGGGAUCCAAUGUAAUGGUGUUAAAAUGAUAUCCAUCCCAAUCCUCUUAACUCCUUCAAUCAAACAAAAAAUUGGGUCCAACCCAUCCCUGCAAUCAAACAAGAGAUGGGUCAAACCCAGCUCAGAAAAGUGGGUCGGCUCUGAUCGAACCCACAUCGUUCCAAAACCAAAAUGCAAGUUUAAUUCUGAAACCUUAAUUCUGAAACCUCGACGAUCACGAGAUUUGAGCAAACUUGCAUUUUUUUUAACGAUAUAAAGGGAUGCAAUGUUGCACGAAAACGUAAGUUAGUCAUGACUCAUGAGCUUUUGAAAAAUGUUUUUGGAGGGGUAGUCCGAGACGUGGACAUGCAAAAAAAAAAAGAAGGGAAAAAAAUUGUAGAGGCUGAUGUUCUCUUGAGCCUUGAGGGCGCGAUUUGCAAAAAAAUAAAAAAAAAUAAAAAAUAUGCCAUUUGUUGAGAGUGGGAUUUGAACCCACGCCCUUUCGGACCAGAACCUUAAUCUGGCGCCUUAGACCAACUCGGCCAUCUCAACAUGGUGCUGGAUAAAAUAAAAUCUAAGUAUUGUUCAAUAUAGGACAGGUCCUGGACUAGACUGCUGCAGCUCCUCUUCCACCGCGGUCGGUUGAGUUGCAAACCAUCGGCUUCCCCCCUUCCCGCAGCCAGGCACCCGACCCGGAUGGCCGUUGCAAACCCUAGCAAUGCGAUACACUGAUUAGCUUCCUCCUUCCCUCGCCUGGGUUUGUGCGUGAUCUCUCUCUCUCCCCCAGCGCGCGGACAGCCAGGCGGAUAGGGGCGGGAUGGUUUCCAACAAGGAGCGGGCACGCCGCGCCAUUGACGCCAUGACGGCCCUGGGAUUCUCCAAGAAAGAGUCCACCCCCGUCCUCAGGAGUCUCCUCAAGCUCUUUGACAACAGCUGGGAGCCCAUCGAGGACGAGUGCUACCGCGCCCUCGCCGACGCCAUCCUCGACAGCCGCGACCGCCCCAAGGUAUUCGUCUUGCCCAAAUGGAAGAGACAGAAAGAAAAAAAAAUGUUUUUUUUUUGGUAUUAUUAUGGGAUCAAAGAUGGGCCAAAAAGGCCCUCUUUUGUUUACUACUCUGUUCCUGCCAGACUAAUUUAAAUGGCUUACUGAUGCUUCAUCACUUGCCGCUGCUUGGGUGCAGGAGCCGGAGCAUGGUAGCCACCAUGCAAGAAUGGUUGCGCCGGAGGAAGAUCACCACCAGCCUUCUACUUCCCUUAUCGUCUAUGGCCAUCCCCGUGACUUGGAUAGUGAGAUAGAGGCACCUCGCAUCAAGAGGCCUAGAACCAACUCUAAUAAUUUCUCAGCAGAUCACUGUAUUGAUCCUCAGUUGUCCCCGCCAUCUUCUGUUACUGCACAAGAGAGGGCAAGGCAGAUGAUGGAUGAAGAUUUCCAACAUGCUGUCUUCUUGAGAGAGCCUAAGCCUGAGCCUGAUAUAGAUGUUGCACAGAGCCUUCAUGAUGCUCAAGUUGGCAUUGUUUCCCAUCCGUUCAACACCAGCUCCUCAGGUGCUGCAGAUCCUCUAGCAUCGCGUCCAUCCGUUCAAAAUCAAACAGAGAUUUCAGGUUUGCAUGCAGCAUUCUAAUCGAUUAUUCUGUCAGUAUUUGUGCUAGAAAAUAAUAGGUCAUGGAGAUGUUCAUGUUUCAUAUGUAGAUCACGUUUUUUCACCUUUGGUGUUUGUUCCAUUGAGUUCUCGAUGCACAGGGAAAUUAGUUUGUUGUGUUGAGCAAUCAAUCUGGUUGUCGAACUAGUACUUAUUCAGUUAUUCUUGCUGUUUUUUCUAUGAUACUGUGACUAGUUUCCUUAUUCUGAUGAGAAUCUGCUAAACCUUAUAUAUAUAGGUAAUAAAGGCAGGCCAGUUCAGCAUUGUAGAACAAGGACAUCAUCCACUUCCUUUGUUGAACGCACGGGCAGCAUGGGGAAGCAACCUCAAAAUCGGGAAAGUUUGUCCGAUCACACAGCUGUGAUGCACAACACUGGGACAGGAUCUGCAGAUGAACGUACACAAGAAGCACCUUACUUGCACACUGUUGUAGCAUCAUCCACUAUGGGUGAUGUCAAGAUGUCAAUAGAAUGCAACAUAGACCCAUCGAAGUUCUGCAUGCCCAGUUUAGAAGAAGUUUUCAGGAUGGUUGAGGAUAAAUGCCUUCACUCAUACAAGAGUCUCCCACCAAAUUUUUCCGUUAGCAGCCUGAUCAAUGAGAUAUGCCAAUGUGUAGCACAACUGGCCAAUGGCAGUACUGCAGAAUAUAAUGUACAAUCAGAUUCUUUUGAUAAUGGCAGAAACUCGCAAAAGGAGUCAAUGAUGAGUGGUGCUGCACUCAUGAAACCAAUUGCUUCCAUGAAUAGCGGAGGCAUGAAAUAUAAAUCUGUAGAAGAUUCAUUGGUUUUAGAAACUUCAGAGAAUGGACAAGAAUAUUCAACAGUUCCUCAGCAUCUGGCACUUUCUCAAGUAAGGUGUACCCACGAUGUGUCUGAUAUAUCAAAGGGAGAAGAAAAGGUAAGGAUAUCAGUGGUGAACGAAUUUGGCAGCGAGAAAUGUCCACCUUCCUUUUAUUAUAUACAAAGAAACCUUGUUUCCCCGAAGGCCUAUGACAACAUCUCUGCUGCCGGAAUUGGUGACGAGGACAGUUGUGCUGACUGCUUCGGCAACUGCUUGUCUGCCCCUAUACCAUGUGCCUGUGCAAGAGAAACUGGGGGUGAAUUUGCAUAUACACCAGGAGGUUUGGUUAAGACAACGUUCCUUGAUGAGUGUUUCUCUAUGAAUUUAUUCCCAGAAAAACAUCAUAAGUUCUUCUGUAAACCACUGGAGAGGCCCAGGAAUGAAGCUCUACCAGAGCCUAGCAGACGCCAUCUUGUUAGGAAGGUUAUCAGGGAAUGCUGGAGUAAAUGUGGUUGUAACAUGCAAUGCGGUAACCGUGUGGUUCAACGUGGUAUAGCUUGCAACCUGCAGGUAACAUCUAAUGCUUCUGUAAACUUAUGUUGAUGAAUAUUUAUGUGGCUUGCCAUGAAUGGCUGUCAUUUAUUUCAUGAGAAUUAUACAGCUAAUUACAACAAUUUACCUGAAAUUGGAUAGAUCAGUGCAUAUAGAGUUCCUGGCAACUGUUAUUGGAUUUUCAGAUAAUUAGUGCAUAGGAUAUCCUUCUCAUUCUGGCCUCCCCUGUACCUUAAAAUAUGUUUGGAAUACACUACAGCCCUUUGCUUGUUUGAGACUUUGAACAAAAGGUGUUGCUUCGCAAAAUCAUGUUAGCUUGGUGCUGAGGAAUUGUCAGGCACCAUUCAUAGAUUUUCAGACAUGGUAUUUGUUAAACUGAACAUCAGCUCAACCCUUUCAGUAACAUGAAAACACAAUGGUACUUGUACUGUAAAUUUACACUCAUUGACUGAAAAAUAAACACAUUCUAGGAACACUUAGCUGAACCUGAUUUGGUUGAAGAGGUGUCAGAUUUGAAUGUACAAACCUGUAUGUAAAUACAGUUUGAGCACCAAACCUGCCAAGAAAGACAAAGGCACAAUCAAUACCAAAAGGGGGAAUUUCCAUCCAGCGAGAAUACGUUGGCCUGCGACGGGAUCCCGGCGACAAACACAGAUGGCAGCCUAACAUUAGGACCCGAUGGAGUCGACGGCGGCUUGAUGAUGAGAUCCUUUUGAUCGCACGUCGGCUUGGCUAGGAUGAUUGUUCCAGUCACGACCAACGAGCACAGUGGAGGGGUAGGGGUUGCUGUUGGUAGCAUAGACAUGCGAGGGGGGGGGGGGGGGGGGGGCAACGGCUUGGUGUCAGUUACGCAUUCCAUUCGUGACCAGCGACAACGGCAGAGGUGUUAGGGUUCCUGGUGGCUGUGGUUGAACUAGGAGGAGAGAGGCGCACGAGAUGCGAAUGAUGCGGGUGACACAGGGAUGGGAGCUGCAGCUUUGGGCGAAAUGGACCUGAGAUUCCAUGAGGGUUUAGACGUGCCUGGGCCUGUUUGUCGCCACAUCAUUUUUACGAGCAAAUGUGGACAGAGUGGGAGUGAAAUACAUGAAGAUUUGGGUGGUUUAGGCUUUAGGGUUCCGUCCUAAAUUGGAACUGUAAAUAAGAAGAAAUCUUUUGCACUUGAAUGGAUAUAAUAAAAAAACUGCAGCCAACCUAAGGCAGCAUUGCAAAUAAGAAGAAACAGAUACCCAGGUUUGCGUGGAAGAGGACUCGAACUUGGGUGGCAGGGUGUGUGCACCCACACCUCCCACCAACUGAGCUUAGUUCCUUCUUGGUCCUCUAAUAGUUUUCCUUUAUUUUUCUUCCGCAGUGUUCAGGUAUUAUUGAUGCUGGUUGGUUGAAUUGCUGCUAAUUACUUUCUUUCUUUUUUUUGCCCAGGUGUUUUUCACACAAGAAGGGAAGGGUUGGUUGAAUUGCUGCUAAUUACUUUCUUUCUUUUUUUUGCCCAGGUGUUUUUCACACAAGAAGGGAAGGGUUGGGGUCUACGCACACUUGAUGAACUUCCAAAAGGAGCUUUUGUCUGUGAAUAUGUUGGCGAGUUGCUAACAAAUACGGAGCUCCGUGAAAAGACAUCUCAAAAAGCGUGCAAGGCUGGGUAUACGUACCCGGUGGACUUGGAUGCUGAUUGUGAUUCAGAGGGGGUGUUGAAGGACAAAGAGGCUUUAUGCCUGGAUGCAACAUUUUAUGGGAAUGUUGGGAGAUUCAUCAACCACAGGUGUGCUCUGACUGUUCCCAAUCUGUCCUUGUUACUCUAUUAUUUUUUUAAAAAAAAUGAUAGCAGAGAUGAGUCUUCCCCUUUUCUUUUCUUAUGGUCGUAAUACUCCAUCACAUAGAUGCUACGAUGCAAAUUUAGUUGAGAUCCCUGUUGAAGUGGAGACCCCUCAUCAUCACUAUUACCAUGUAAGUUCUUAAAUUCUAAACUGCUGUGUCCAUACCACGCCUUUGAAAAUGUACAGCAUAGGCAUACCAUGCUGAUGUUUUUUAUAUUUUCUUUUUUCUUUUUUGUUAAUUGAAGCUUGCACUUUUCACAAACAAGAAGGUGGAGGCAUUUGAGGAGCUCACAUGGGUAAGGCUUGUGUAGUUUCUUAAUAUUAAAUAUUAACUUCUGUUCAUAUAUUCAAAGAUGUGUAUUUCUCAAGAUAAAUGUGACUGUCAAAAUCAAAGGCUGCAGAUGCUGUGAGCCUGUGAUAAUAAUUUUUUCCCCAUAUUUUAAGUUUUUGCUCUUGACAAAGGCUAGGGACUUCUCUUGCAAUUUCUGCUUGCCUAUAUUUAUUUUGAGGGUUCUGUAAUGUUUAUCCCAUGGGCAAUGGCUUUGUUAGACAUUCUUUUGUGUGGUUGCAAUGGUAAACCCUAAACCCAAAUUCACAAGUCCUCUUCGCAGUGCUAUACAAAUACCAGAUUUUUCUAGUUUAUUCUCUCUUUUUAGCUAAAUCAUAUUUGCGGCAAGCUUUGUUGGUUGCAUUUUCAGUGCCAUGCUAUGCAGUUUAUUGGAUCAGCCUAGGAUGCACUCUCUCCUAUCCUUGGUGGCUUGACCGAUCAAAACUAAUCUUGCUUGUUUCAGGAUUAUGGCAUCGAUUUUGAUGGUGAUAAACAUCGUGGCGGAACAUUUCAAUGCCUGUGCGGAAGCAGAUACUGCCGCGGCAGGAAGGGUCGUAGUAUGUUCUCCUUCUGCUUGGUCCCAGAACCAUUCUUUUUGAGUGAAUUCUUGCCGGGCUACAGAUUCUACUUUUCAUUGUGCAAGCGUUCUAAGAUGGUUCUUUCAAAUGACUGCAGGGAACCGAGGAAAAGCUGCUGCAAAAUAAGCUGGGGUUGAUGCGAAGCAUGGCUGUUUAGGUUAGCGAGCAAUCUAGUCAGUUGUAGCUUAGCAAGCCGGAAUUUUGUAUGGUCAUAAUUGAUGUUGGAGGGAUGUUUUUGGCUUGCGCGCGCGCGUCUGAGACAAAGCGUUGCUCAUAGGUUAGAUGCAUCAUUUAGCCGAAUGAAACUGCUGAACUUUUAAUCUCGCCCGGCGGUUUGAAUUUGUUUUCGAGUUGGGGGCUGGAAACGGAGGCCCACGACAUCUUCACAGGGCUAUUCUUCUGUAGUCAGUUUAGUUGUGAGUUUUUUGCAUAAUCGGGGGUGUUUUAGCAAAAUUUAUUGACGACAGCGUUUUUUUUAAAAAAUCAUAACAAAGAAUAAGUUAGGGAAAAAAAACUGUGAAGAUGUGGUGGGCGGAUCACGGCGGAUCAGGUCCAAUCAGGGGUCUCCCACAUGCCGAUGGUCAUGGGCUUUCGCCGACGGCACUCGCCGGCGCGCCACACGUGUCCUCCUGUGUGUGGGGCGUGCGCUGUCCGGGCCCGCUAAUAUGUAUGAAUCUAUAAAAGUCACAACAAUAUACGAUUUGUAACGGGGAAAGUAGUCUACUGCACGGGUGAGCCAUAUCUGAUGACAAUUCAAUCAUUUCCCAAACGUCACAGCGUCAGUGCUUAAUCCGGAUAAAUCCAACCCAAAAGAUUACACUUUUCGUCCCUUUUCUCCUCUCCCAGAGUCUCAUGCGUUAGCUACUUGAUGGCCUAACUUUGCCAUGCAUGCCAAUUCCAUAACAUAUCCGAACAAAUAUGUACAGUUUCCCACUUCAUCAUCUCCAGUGCUAUUUCUUUUUCCUAAUUAAAUAAUGUAAUGGCCUGCGAAGGUGCCUACACAGGUGGAAUGCACGUAGCAAUCCGCAAAAGGAACUGGGCGUAUCGAGCUCGAGAUGAGAGCAAGGGUGCUUAUUUUUAUUUUGUAGUCCUUAGAUAUAGACUAAUUACAAAACCUAUUGUACAGUGGAGAUUAAUUCGCGAGACGAAUCUAUUAAGCCUAAUUAGUUCAUGAUUUGACAAUGUGCUGCUACAGUAACCAUUUGCUAAUGAUGGAUUAAUUAGGCUUAAUAGAUUCGUCUCGUGAAUUAGCCUCCAUCUGUGUAAUUAGUUUUAUAAUUAACUCAUAUUUAAUGCUCCUAAUUAACCUCCGAAGAUUCGAUGUGAUGUGGACCUAAACUUUAAUUCAAGAUCCAAACAUCUCUAAUCAAUUCGCUUGCCCAUCCCGGUCGCUGUCCCAGUGAUCUGCCAGGUCAAACCAUUUAAAACGAGCUGAUCUCGCCGAAAGGGCCACCGCGGCUGCCUUUACCGCCAAGCCAUUGCGCGAGCACGAGCCUGCACAGCCCAGUUGACUUGCGCUGGAGGUUGGCGGAUGCGGGCAAGGUGGCACGGAUCGCGCGCGAGGUCAACGCAAAAGGCAGCAUAAAGAAACAGGGUGGGGCGAGGGCCACAAGGGCGCCAGGUAAUCACAGAAUUCGCCGUGUGAUCUGUAUUCUUUUGUUGGUUGAAGCGAUUGGAGAUUGGACAGCCUAAAGGCAUCCGGUCGCCAGCUCCAAUCGGUCGAUGGUGGCCUUUCGCGUGGGCGUGGAUACAUUUUUUUUUAAGGUUGGAGAUUGGAUACGUUUUGACAUGACUGUGGAAUAUCGCCUGUCAUUUUCACCGAGCAAAGCAUUAAAACUUUUUGCCCUUUUGCCCGUGGUUGUUCACUUUGAGAAAUUUUUACUGUUGUACUCAUUCCGUUUUAAGUUGUAAGUUAUUUUAACUUUUCUACAUUUAUAUUUAUAGAUAUUUAUAUAUAUAAUUUGAAAAAGUCAAACUACCUGCAAUUUGAAACGGAGAAAGAACGAUCAGUUAAUUCUGUGACGGUAUAAAUUCCAUUCACACAGUUCUCGGCUGAGAAGUUUUGUUGAGGACUGUGUUGUAAUUUUUCAUUUAAAUGAGGGUCUAGGUGGAAAAAAUUGUGCUAGAGAUCUUCUUAGAGGAGCCGUAGGCGAAUGUCCCGUCUCCCACUCUCCCUCUUCUCUUCUUCCAGGGAGAGAGCUCGAGCUCCUGCUCCUCUCACACCUCCGCCCGCCACCGCCCACCCCCACCCCCACCCCCGCCCCGCCCUCGCGGCCAUGGCCUCCUCCUCCUGCGACGCCACCGCCGUUCCCUUCACCCUCCUGGGCGCGCUCCUCACCGCGGGGCCAGCUGCCUGGCCGGUCUGCGUCGGCGGCGGCCGCGCCUUCCUCCGCGACUACGCCCAGCGGGGCACCAACGCGCUGCUGUGGGCGGGCCUUCUCGCAGUCACCUGGGUCCUGCUCCUCCGCGUCGCCGCGCUGCUCCGCCUCUGGGUCCUCGGCUCCCGCAUCCCGGGGCCUCACGCGCUCCUCGCAGACCCCGGGCUCGCCGCCGUCCUGCGCACCGGCGGCGACGUCACCGGUUGGUAGCCGAUCCCCUUUCCACCGUAUUUGGCUCCACGUAACCAGGAUUCGGUUCAAUUGGUUGGGUUUCGAUAUUUGGGUGGUGGUUAUGAUGGGAUUGGAAUAUUGGAUUUGGCGCCAGCGCGACGUCUGCAACGUGCCAAAAAAAAUUUCGUACGGGCUAUUUGAGAUGCUCGGGCGCCUAUGUGCCAUUUUGGGUACUGUUCGAUUGGGGACUGGAUGUGGUUGGAGCAAUUUGAUUCGAGAUUUGGUAGCUCCUACCUGAGAUGCCAAAUACUUGGUAGAGAUUUGGCUACGAGCUAGCUACUUGAGCAUUGAUCUAUUGGGAAAUUCGUGCUGUUUGAUUGAUUGAUGUGGAAUUUUGCUAUAGUAUAGGCUGAUCUGGGUGGGAGUUGCGGGAUGUAAUUUGACCAUCCGUUUUUGCCGAUUAUAUGCCAAAGUUAUGGCCUAUUUUACUGCCCCAGAGCCUGUGAGCUAGUGAUCCAGGUUUGCCUUUUUGUUUGGUUGCUCUGUUGGAUGAUAACGAGAUGUGAUCUGUACAAGUGGCACAAUAUUUUGUGUAAAGCAUUUAGGCUAGUGUUGAUGUUAUGGUAGCGGGACCGGCUCUAGGCCUUGGCCCACUGUAGUGUAGCGCGUGAACAGUACCGCGGGAUCAGGAUUAGUUUGUUAGCAGAUAAGAUUUGUUAGUUAUUUGGAUUAGAUUUGUUAGCAGGUUUUUAGGUGCCUAGUCUAUAAAGGCAGCCGUGAGUUAUGGGUUAGGCAAGCAGAAAAUAGAUCAAAAGAGCAUCUCAGAGCCUCCUGCGGGAGGGCAAGUUAGCCGAUCUAUCCUGCUGUUCUAGUAUCCAAUGAUCUGCCCACAACAGUUGAGAUAAAAUUACUUAACUGAGCUUUGCCACACAGCAAUUGCACUGCUUAGCACAGAGCACGCUUACCUUAAUUAUUGUUGUAUCGUCAUUACAUCAUGGUCCUACUCUUUUCGAUUCUUAUAAUUCGGGAAGAAAAACAGAAGAGGAAAUCAAUUUACCUUUUGAAGUUCUUGCUGUUUCGACAAAUCUCCCUCAUCACUAUUAGACUAGAUUUUUGUCAGUUGUAUGUCUACGAAGUUUUUACAGAGUUAACCACAUAUUCAAAAAUUUCCUGGGAAUGAGCACUUUUUGUAGAACUUACUAGGACAACUCAGAGAGUGUUGGGUUUGAAAUACUACCAGACAUAAAUGGGUAGCCAUAGGUAGAUGCAUGAUUGUUGAUAAAUAAUUUUUGGUCCCAUGCGAUCCAACAGGGAUAGUGCUGUUCUUAAUGAGCAUGGGCAUAGGAUGGCCCACUCGAGCACUUUAGACCCGUGCCAUCCAACGCUUCAGCUUACAAUGUUCCAGCAAAUAUUCAAGCCAUAUUGCUAGCAAAAUUACUAUUGUGAGCUACCAAUCUUCUGCUUUUUUUAAAUCAUUAUUGUAAAGAUGAAAAUACAUUAUUUGAUAUUUUUGCGUUGAUAUGGCAACCAAGGGUCCUUAUUUAAUAGUUUAUACAAUACAUCCGUUAAUUUAGGCUCAUGUUUUGCUUUGAACUUCAUUUUGCAGGUUUCCUGUCAAAAUUGCAUGGCAGCUAUGGCUCAGUUGUUCGCCUGUGGGCAGGACCCUCUCAGCUACUUGUAUCAGUUAGAGAUCCUACUCUAGUCAAAGAGGUUCUAACAAAGGCUGAAGAUAAGUUACCAUUGACUGGUAGAACAUAUAAUUUAGCUUGCGGAAGACUUGGUCUAUUCGUAUCCUCAUCCGAGAAGGUAAAUUGAUUUACUCUUCUGCUUUUUCUAUAGUGGGCUCUGCAAUAUUUCCUCUCUCUCGUUUCUAGUUUGUAUUGAUGCAUUUGUUUUAUUAACACCAUGUAUAUGCAGAUAGCAUGUUCCAUUGCUACUUUGAUUUGUUUAGUUCUUCUAACCGUCUUGUUCGGCAUUUUUCAGGUCAAAAGUACAAGAGAAUCUCUGAAAAUAUUUUUGAAUGAAAAACUUACAAUUGGUGUCGGUCGAAGUUCAUUCAAAGUUAUUGAUGCUGUCAUGGAUAGAAUCGACUCUAUUAUGUCCAAGGAUUUUCUGGACUGUAGAUCUUUCUCCCAGCACAUGUCCUUUAACAUCAUUGGUGGAACUCUUUUUGGUGAUGCCUUCUUCAAUUGGUCUGAUGCUGUUACUUAUGAGGAACUUCUUAUGAUGGUUGCAAAGGAUGGUUGCUUCUGGGCUUCUUAUGCAGUUUGCCCGUUUUGGAAGCCUAGCUAUAGGAGGUACCGGACCCUUUGUGCUAAGCUGAAGACGUUAACAGAGGGAAUCAUCAGAAAAUCAAGAGAUCAAAAUAGUUCACUUCACCACUUUGAUCAGAGGUCAUAUCUAAAAAGUGAAGGGAUGAUAAAAGGUCUAAAUAGAGGUGUUUUAGGUGAAAUGAUGGCAGGUCAUUGUCUCCAUGGGGCUGCUGAAGGAUCACUUAGUUCAGAAGAGGAAAUCUGUGGAAACAUCAUCGGUUUGAUGUUACAUGGUAUUUCCGCUUCUGCUAACUUGAUUGGUAACAUUUUGACAAGGUUUAUCUUGUUCCCAAAGUUGCAAGAUCAGGUACACAUUAAUUCCUUUAUUUUUCUCUGUUGCAAACUAUUUUGGUUGCUCUCUGUGAUGAACAAUUGCUGGUGUUGUGUUGCCCAUGUUAAUUAUUUGAAUAAGAAAGAAUCUCAAUUCGUGCUCCAUUUUUCUCAAGGAAAGGUUUAUAAAAUGUGACAUUAUUCGUCUACAAAAGUGUGGGGCAAUCUUGAAGACCCUUUAGCCAUAAUAUACUAGAAGGACGGGCCACAACCAUCCACCAUUUUUUUAUGAGUUACACCUCUUCACCCAUGCUACUCUUUUUUUGCAGAUACAUGCGGAGAUUGUUGCAGUCUGCGAUGAAUCAUCUGAGCUGGAGGUUGAUGAUGUGCUUAGGAUGCAAUUACUACUUGCUACUGUAUAUGAAUCUGCUCGCCUUUUGCCUGCUGGACCUCUUCUGCAGAGAUGUUCUUUGAAACAUGGUAUGCAAAUUUUCUAGACCUUUAGAAUGCGAUUGCCUAUCCUGAUUUUAUUAUCAAGAUCAUGAUAGUUUGAAGUUUGAUCCUGAUAUUGGUCCAUGCAUCUAGCUGCAAAAGGGCUCGUUUGUCAGCUACAGGUCAGUUUUGACCCACUUUCGUUUCAUUUUCCUUGAGUGCAGAUUUGACUCUUGGCUUGGGCAUCACUGUGCCAGCUGGAGCAAUAUUGGUAGUUCCUUUGCAUCUUGUGCAUAUGGAUGCUUCUGUGUGGGGCAAUGAUGCUGGCCAGUUCAAUCCUCAUCGGUUCCUCAAAAAGGAUGUGGAUCUUGGAGGUCUGUUCUCUCUUUUCUCACUUUUCUGUUCUAGCAAAACAUAAGUAACAGGUUGUUAAUAACAGGGCAUGCCUAAUAACAGCUCCAGAAGAUUCUUCAUUGAAUUCGUUAUUUUUGGUCUGCAUUUGUUAGACCUUUAGCAUUUUUUUUGCAUGACUAUUGUGAUUAGCCUCUUCCUAAUUCUAUUCUCACUUCAUUUUCUUCAUAUAUUGUAGAUAUAUUAGCAGCACCCAGAGGCUCAAAUGGGAUGAAUCUUUUCACCGAGUGUGCUAAGUCUGAGUCAUUUCUUCCAUUUGGUUCUGGAAGUCGAGCAUGUGUUGGCCAGAAGUUUGCGAUUAUUGCAAUAUCAAUGUUGAUUGCCAGUCUGCUCCGCAACUAUGAGGUUAGAUGCAAUAAUUGUUAUGCUUUGCCUUUUCGUGAUAUGUACACGCACCUUUUGGGAGAUUGUGAGCUGACUUGCUAGAUGGAAUUCCAUGCUUCUGGGCUAAGUAUUUACUCUUUUUCAUCAGUUUACGUUUAAACUUAGUGUUGAUUGGAACUCAACCUUGCAGGUACAGACUCAUCCAAGUUUGUGUAAAGAAAUGGAACCUGAAGUUCACAGCAGCCAUGUUCACCAUCUCCCAAACCCGAAGAUCAUCCUCACAAAAAGAAGGAUCUAACGGGAGGGUUUGGCAAAUUCAAAUUUGAUGCGUUUUCUUUCACUAUAUUCUUUUUUACUGGUGUCACACCAGGAUAUGCUAGUUUCAUACCGUCGUUGAAUCACGCUGAAGUUUGGAAAGGCGAUACUUUGCGAUGUGGAAGUUAUCUUUUUUUUCCUCCAGAUUUUUGACAGACCCAGUGUGCUUCGUCCGAUCUAGUUUUUGUUAGAUUUUUGGAGCACCCACGGGCUGUCAGAUCAUGGGAGGUGUAUGCUGAUGUGCAUAAACAAGUUGGGGGUUUUUAAGUUGGAGUUUUCUCCUCCCUCUAGGAGGAAUGUAAUGUCCAAUGUAUCAUGUUGUCUCAUACUAAUGUAUUGUAUGAUACAUGUAAACAUGUUUCAGCUGUUCCUACAGCGUAAUAAAUUGUGAAAAAAUUAUACAAAUAUCUGCUGUGUUGGAUUUGCUUCAGCCUUCAGGUAGUAGGUAGAGAUUUCUUUAAAAAAAACAGGGAGGUGAGGGUUAAAUGCAUAAUGUACUAUAUGUAAGCAACCAGCCAAAGCCAGUAAGCUACCGUAUACGGCAGUGGUCGUACCCUGCUACAGUGCUGUGAUUUCAGGAUAAGUUGCGGCACGACACGAUCAUGUUUCCGAUGCAGAUGACCAGGCGUCAGGCGAGUACUUCGCCGCGAACGGCAGAGCAAGCGCAGGACUGCGAUCGGAUCGGCGGCGUCCGGCAGAGGUGCAAGCCGGAAAUGCUGGCCCCCUCACCGUUGUUCGCCUUCCUGCACGGUGCAGGGAGCGGUGCGCCACCGACAUAUCGCUUGCCGCACCGACGACGACCACGUGCCGCCGCCGCUCGUCGCGCGACGGCUCAUCAUGAGAUUCUCCGGUCAAGCUCUCGAGGUCCAAUGGGCACGUGUAGGAGGAUCAUCCCAUGACCAGACCUUACAGUACGAGCAGGCGCAUGGCCCUGCUUCUGCUUGGCUCACACCUGCCCAGGCCGGCGCCAAAUGAAAUGAUCAGAGACGAGCAGGGGGGCCCUGCGUUUUAUGUCGGCGGCAGAUGGUUGGUUGACUGGCGAUCAAGUGCACGCAUAUUCCCAAGCAUUCAGCCCGUUCGGAAGUGAUUGGCAAGGAAAAGCCUAAACAAUGGCCGCAUAGGCACACAGCCGACGCCGAUUGCCGAUUGGCGGCACGCGCCUGGGCAGGGGACAAGGAUCGCGAGCUCUCAUGCCGUUCGUCUGAGACGCCAGCCAGGUCGCGGUAAUUCCAAAGAACUGCGUUGUAUUUGUUGUUCAAAACUCAAAAUCAAGCGCAAGAUCCUGAGCUCGCAACGAGAAUGCUUCUUGAAAUCCAUGGAGAUUUACUUCAAGAAAAUUUUGGAUCUGCGCCUGCCAACGCUACGCUAAACAAGUUGGUAUCGCGCAAGCACGCGGCUCGUAAUCUAUUACUCCGUAUUCAGUACGAUAAAGACCCCUCUCGCUGCAGUAACAAGUUUACUGGCGUACAGCGGGCAGUAUAAAAUACCCAGGCUGCACAGUGACAGUGAACACCCACUGUAGUUUCACACUUUCGCUCACUCUGACGGCAUCAGCUAGCUGCUGAUCGCCUUCGCAACAACAGAUGCGUAUGGCUCCUCGGGGUAGUAAUGGCAGCGGCGGCGGCACCAAGCUGUUGCUGUGCUUGCUGCUCGUCGCGUGCACCGGGGCUGCGGGGCAGGGGCUCCGGGUGGGGUUCUACCAGCAGAGCUGCCCGGACGCGGAGUCCAUCGUGAGGAACGUCACCUGGCCUGCGGCGGCCGCCGACCCCAGCCUCGCCGCCAAGCUUCUCCGCCUCUUCUUCCACGACUGUUUCCCGCAGGGUUGCGACGCGUCGGUGCUGCUGGACGGCCGUGGCACGGAGAAGGCGGCGGGCCCGAACCUGUCGCUGGGCGGGCUGGAGGUGAUCGACGCGGCCAAGGCGGCGCUCGAGCGGUCCUGCCCGGGCACCGUCUCCUGCGCCGACGCCGUGGCGCUCGCCACCCGUGACGCCGUCUCGUUCCAGUUCGGGCGGCUGCUGUGGCAGGUGGAGACGGGGCGGCGCGACUCCCGCUUCUCCGACGAGGCCGACGGCACCAAGCUCCCCAACCCGGAGUACGUGUUCCCGAUCCUCAGGGACUCCUUCGCCCGGCGCGGCCUCGGCGUCGCCGACCUCGUCGCGCUCUCCGGCGCGCACACGCUGGGCCGGACCACCUGCAUGUUCGUGUCCCCGAGGCUCUACACCUUCCAGGGCAACGGCGGGGUGGACCCGUUCAUCGAGCCCAGGUACGCGCGGGAGCUGAUGGGGCAGUGCACGAGCAUGGCGUCGGCGAACAGGGUCGUCAUGGACCCCGGCAGCGAGUUCGCCUUCGACACCAGCUACUACAGGGCCAUCAAGGCCAACCGCGGCGUGCUCCUCACGGACUCCGUGCUCACGCACGACGACGAGGCGGCGAGGCUCGUCGACGAGAUGCAGGACCUGGGCAAGUUCCUCGCCGCCUUCGCCGCGUCCAUCCAGAAGAUGGGCGCCAUGGACGUGCUCACCGGCAGCCAAGGCGAGAUCAGGAGGAACUGCCGUGUCGUCAACUACUAGUGUGUGUGACUGUGUGUGUGUGUGUCUUUGCUUGGCCAAUUGUGGUAGGAGUAGGAUUGCUUUAACUGAUUGUGAGCAUAUGAAGUCUUAUAUCUUAAGAAUAAAGAGCACAAUGUUGACAUGGAUAUCUUCAUUUAACAAAGGAACAUAGGCUUUAGCAAUUGUUCCGUUCUUCCUCCAAAAAAUUGACCGGAUUGGAAAGUGACGUCCUCCGUGCUCGCUGCCAGACUGCGGCUCGCAUGAUUUGUCCAUUCUCCGGACAGAACGCCACGAACGGCAGCAAAACGACGGCCGUCGCUGGGGGCCUGCGGCCUCACCGGCGCGAGGUCUGGUCAGGUCAUUGACGCCGCCGCCUUUGCCACGAAUGGACGGCGGCACGGCGCAGUCACGGAAGCAGGUCGUGCGGCGGCGCCACCUGUUCGGUAUGGAACGAGCCGACGCCACGACGGCAGCCCUUGGGCGGCGCGACGCUGCCGCUCGUCUGGCAGAACGCCGCGGAAGCGCCGAAGCUGAGAACAGCGGCCUCCGCCGCGGCCCUACCGGCACGAGCAUGAGGAAUCAAAGAGGCUCUCCAGGACGGUUGCCAUCGACGCGGGGGACGGCCAGGACGCGGCGGCGCACCGGCGAGACGUCGCGCGACUGCAUGAGACGUGCCGUGGGGUGGCCAGGGUGGUACCUUUUAACCGCUGGAUCGGAUCUGUGCGUCCGCGAUCAUCCCAAUUGCAGCCACCCGCCCUGCCUCCGAGAAGAGCGCCCUUGCCACGGCUGGCUGCGGCUCCUGCGCGCGCCAGCGGAGAGGCGUUAACGCUCGCCGCGUCGCUGGGCGGCCACGGCCUCCGACCCGCCGCCAAACUCUCCCAGAACAACGCCGUGCCACCGCCCGGCACAUAUUGGAGCAAGUUGAAGUGCGAUUUGGUGUAGUCGGCGAGCGCCGCCGCGACGGGUACGAGGCCGGGCACGACAGACGGCAUCAGCUGCAAUUCCUAGCUAAAGAUCGGGGUUCAGUUCCAUGUCGUUCAUGGAGGCGCGGAGCUCCAUCUCUACUUACCUCCAAGUUUCUACAGAUCCGACUCCCCUCUCUUUUCUCAUGAUCGCCACACCACCGCCGUCCUUGGCGCCGACGCCGGCGCGCCACCUCCUUUGCCGCGACGUUUGGCGCGGUCACAGCCGCCGGCUGAAUAGUCGUGGCUUUUGUGGCGCGCCACCUCACCUCUUCGGCAUGGAACGAGCCACCGCCACGGUUCUGCGUCCCGACGAGUCCCGCCGAACGCCACGGUUCACGAGCAGCUCGGUGGCAAUUGGUAACGCCGGUGGACAAGGACGCGGACGCCGGCGGACGUUCCUGAGGGCCUCCUUAUCGGCGUAAAAAGGGAUUCUACAAACGCAUGCUGAUGUUGACGCCGUGCAGCGGGAUGCGGCGGCGCUCCGGCGAGACGUGGGUGGAUGCUGAAUUGUGAAGCGCGAGCACGCUGGGGUGGACGGUAAAUGAAAUACCGUCCACCCCUUGGGUAUCUUACGCCCGUUGGAUCGGAUCUGGGCGGCCGCAAUUAACCCAAUCCAAGCCCCGAUCCGGCCUCUUCUGAAGAGCGGCCGCGCGCGCCAGCGGCGAUGGGAUGGAUGGCCGCGCUCCGGCGCCGGGCGGACACGGCGGCCUCCGACCAGCCGCCAGUAUCUUCAACGACGACAAAGCCACGGCGCCACCGCCACCCGCCGGUGAAAUGCACAAGACCCUCCGGUUUGGCGGUGCCUUUGCCCCCGACACGGCCGUCAGUUACAGGCUUGCUCGAAGCAGCACGGCACGGGGGCCGGCCGGUGCUGAUCUGCGGCGGCUAUAGCUUGUCUGGAUCGUCAACCGGUUCGAACCUUGGUAGGAUGUAAUGGAACGGCCAACGCAACGAUAUUUCCAAUAAAAAGUUGCUGAUGUUCGUCUGGAAGUAAUCGACCUGGGACGACGAAAUGGUCUAUUCAUUCCCAGCACAGCAGCAACAAGCUGUAGCUUGGGUGAUUGCAGUUGCAGAUGCCCGAGGACAAAUUAAUCAAUGGACAGAUUAAGCAAAAUUGUUUUGUAAUCAAUCUUUCUAGUAAAAAUGCUUCAGAAUACCCAUGAGAGCAAGUUCAAUUGAAAUCUUCGUGAUGCACAAAACCAGCCACACAAAUGUUGCUACACAAAUCCUACCAACAAAAGAAUCAGCACCAGGUUCAACGGCAGAACCGUAAGUGGCCCAAUUGGAAGCCCGGCGGAGCCGGCGAGUAUUCGCCGGAGGCCGGAGCCCGUGCUGGUGCUGAGCACGACGGCUCAAUCAUCAUAGCCGGCUGCGCGACCACAUGUUCGGCAUAGCCCCAACGUCCUCCGUGGCCCAUGUAAUUAUCGAAGAUGAUUCUUAAAUUAAAGUUGUCUCAGUGUGAUGAUUGCUAGACUAAAGGCUUAAGAUCAGUCUCAGUGCACAGUUUCAGUGCACAGUUAACAAGACCGAGAACUUGGUAACUGUGCCAGUUGAGUGUCAUGUGGAUGAAACUUCUCUCUCAUAUGAUGAAACUUCCUCUCGUAAUGGCCUUACCAAGUCAGUAUUUUUGCGACGUGGCAACAAAUUUAAUGCUCAUGAAACUCCUAUAAAAUUACUAUUGAGAUUGGCCUAAGAAUCAUGGGUUGAAAUACCCUCUCCUCUUCCUUCAAACAUUAAGCAUGUGAUAAUGGUUUAUGAAACUAUGAGAUCCAGUAUUUUACAAACCCUCCUAUUUUCGAUCCAAACUAGGGUUUAAUGUGUAAAAUAUCCGUACCAGCGACGGGCAGGGGAGGAGGCCGCGCCGCCACCGGCGGGCGGCACCAACCCCGUCGCGAUACAUCCCGAGCCACCGUCCCCGUAGGCGAGCUACGGCUUCGGUCCACCUAGAUGGCCGGGGGACAGCGACCUCAUCGGCGUGAGAUCCUUCUCGUCCUCGCACCAAGCGGCGGCGAAUGCCUGCCGCGCCGGACUACUGGAACUCGGCCAGAGAGCUGCUCCUGCGUGACGGCGCCAUGGGACGCUCACGGCCAGCACGGCGGCGGGUGACGUUGUGCGAGGCGCCGGGCUGGAGCGGAUGGCGGCGUGCGCGGCCAUGGGUGUUCGAGGGCCGUGGCGGCGUGGACGCGCUCUCUCUGACUCCGCAGCGAACGAGCCCUUUAUUCAGUCGAUGCUGAACGUACGUCUGAACGAGCCCUUUGUUCAGGCUUUCAGAUCUUGCACUAGGCAUUCCCCGUCCGUGCAGUGCAUGAGUAGCAAGGAUUUCUCGGCAUCAUAACAGCACGUUCGAGGCUAGGGAAGGCCUUGGAAGCAAGAGGGUGCCGCAUUGUGUUGGUGCACGCUCAUCACAUGCCUCAACUGAACAACAACAUGCUGCAGCGCCACACACUUGGCAUCAUCACUAGGCGUCAUCAGGCAAACUAGCUGCGAAAUUGCAACAGCCAGAGUUUAAGUAGUGGCGUGCCCUCCUGUUUCUUUGAAACAAACAGCCUGAGUUGAAGGUAUAGACCCGGCCAAGACAGAUGUAUGAGUUUCUUCAUGACUUCAGGAAAAGGGAAAUUCAGGUCUCUGCCUUCAGUUUACAAGUGAAGACAGAGAGAAUUCCUUCCUGGAUAAUGGCAUUGGCUAAGCUCGGUCCAAACAAACACAGACGGACUAAAGCUAAAAGGUGAAGAAGAUUAAGAGUGGUUUUGUAACCGUUGCAUCUUUCAGAUGACUCCUUGGCUUCACACUCUUGGCUGGAACCAGAGACGAGCACUUGCAGAUAUAUUAUUUUUAUUGACAUCUUUUAUGUGAUGAUUAGUGAAUCGAGAAGUAGAUUGAUUCCUUUCAACAGUUGCAUCUAUCUACCAUCAACAUCACAUGAUAGAACCAUCAACAUCACAUGAUAGAAUUACCCACAAUAUUCACUUAAUUUUAGACCUGGAUAUCAACCACAUUCCCCACCAGGCCAUUCUGCUCGGCCGUUCCUGCUGAGCCAGAUGUUUCCAAAUACGUCGUGAAACUUUGGAGCUUCAAUGCCCAAACUCCUGAAGAAUUGGGUGAUCAUGGAUUCAUGGCUGUCUCUCAUUCUUCGAACCUUCGCCUAGGAAUCCGCUGUGUUCCUUCGUAAUCUCCACUGGCUUAGCAAUUUCAUUGCCAGCUCUAUGAAUGAGCAUCUCAUGGUUUCAGACUUUCAGUCAGGCUUCUUCUGUCGACCACGAUUGCUUGGAACGUGAAUAUUUGGACAUGUAAAUGGAUCAUUUUCUUGGUUUAGCAGCAGCAACGAGGCACCUGAGACCUGAGCUGCAAGAAAUCCUCACCCCUGCAGCUCAACCUGCUUAGUUCAGAAAGAUCUUGGGGUCUCCGGUCAACCACGACGGCCGCUUUGCUAAUCUGCAGAAACCCGCCGGACGGCGCGAUGGGAGGACCCAUCUCGUUCUGUACGUCGGCACACCCAAGUUGGGCAGACGAGCGCGCGCGGCGGAUUGGAUCGUCGACAUGGGAGCCGGCGAAGCGAAUGACGGGGUUCCUUGCCGGCGGCCGCACAGCACCCACUGAAUCUCCGGCAUCUCCUGCGGGACGGGGACGAAUUGUGAAGAGAUGAUUCUAGAGUUUGAGGCGGAAGGGUUGGGCUGCGCAUUGCGCUCGCACUGUACGGGAGGUGCGCGGCUGCCGGCGCCGGCGGAUCGCCAUCAAUAAUCCAAGCUGAGGGAGGGGGAAGAGGGCUUUUACGUAAACUACCAGGGGUGUUUUAUACAAAAUAUUGGAUCGUUUCGCGAUCCAAAAUGGGGGUUUUAUGUAAACUUCUGGUCCUGAUAUUUUCACACGAGCUCCUAAUUUGGAUCGUGACUAUUAAUCGUAUCCAAAAUAGGGGGGUUUAUGUAAAAUACUGGACCACUAUUUUUCAUAAAACCUCCUAAUUUAGGUCGCGACUAAAUCGCGAUCCAAAUUAGGAUCUAAUCUGUAAAAUUUUGUCAGCCAUAUUGCGGCGGCGGUUGCCGGUGACCCGACGCCAACCCCGUCGUCAAUUCAUCAUCUAUCCAGCGUCACCGUCCCCGUCGGACGUGCGACGGGGCAAAUUCACCGCAUUGGCCUACCUCAUUAGCGAAAGGUCCUUGUCAUCCUCCUUGUACCAGUAGGGUGGUAAAUGACCUUCUAAUUUAACAUAGCAAAUUUAAGGAUCGGGUUCAAUAAAGAUCAGGUCAUAAUAUUAUAUGAUUAGGUCAUAAUAUUAUAUGAUUUUGAACCGUAUACUGAGUUGGAUGGUGAAUAAAGCAUGAGGGUCAUAAUCCGUUACCACCCCUAGGUACUAUGCGGCGGAGAGAUUGUACGCUCAUCCAGGAGGAGGUCGCCUGCGAGAUUGUAACUCCAAGUAUAUUCCAUCGGCAGCUCCAAGUAUGGCAUUCACAUUCACAUAAUGUUUGUGGAGCUAGAACUGCAAAUAGCAAGUGAACGAAAUUGGGGCCACGGACAACUCCAAGAGACAGGCAAGGAUCUCUACCGUCUCAUUUCUAGUGAAAACAUGAGUUCUAAAGCAAAAUCCACAUGGGUUUCUCAAUAUUUAUUUGUCAGAUCAGGUACUGUAGGAUUCUGGAUUGUAGAUUUGAGCAGCCAUACAAUUGAUAACAGCAUCAGGAGAGAGCGGCCAACAGGUUAAGCUUUUAGGAACAAUCACAAAAUUGGUGAAUAUCAGGGUGUGAAGCAAUCAUAAAUCAACCAAGGAGAUUCAAAUAUCAAACUGCAGUCAAUUGCAAAGGAAAGACGAGGGUUUAUUAUAGAAAGUGGGAGCCUGGACCAGAAAUAUAGGUGUCUCUUCCGAUGAUAAGAGCUGGCACAGAAAAGAAUUUGGUACUGACACAAAAAUACGGACCUGGAUCGGAUGCAGUGAUAAAUGUUACUGCAACUUAGGGGCUGUUUGGCAAUUGGUGUUAAAAUUUAACACCCAUCACAUCGGAUGUUUGAAUGCUAAUUAGGAGUAUUAAAUAUAGGCUAAUUACAAAACUAAUUGCACAGAUGGAGUGUAAUUCGCGAGAUGAAUCUAUUAAGCCUAAUUAGUCCAUAAUUUGAUAAUGUGGUGCUACAGUAACCAUUUGCUAAUGAUGGAUUAAUUAGGCUUAAUAGGUUCGUCUCGCGAAUUAGCACGGGGUUCUGCAAUUAGUUUUAUAAUUAGCUCAUGUUUAGUUCUCCUAAUUAGCAUCCGAACAUUUGAUGUGACACUGUUAAAGUUUAGCACCUCGUAUCCAAACACCCCCUUAGGGUGCGUUUGAUAUCAUGCGCUAAUUUAGUCCUGUCACAUCGGAUAUUCGGAUGCUAAUUAGGAUGUUUAAAAAUAUGAGCUAAUUACAAAACUAAUGGUUAAAUCGCGAGACGAAUUUAUUAAACCUAACUAAUUUAUCAUUAGCGAAUGAUUACUGUAGCACCAUAUUGUCAAAUCAUGGACUAAUUAGGCUUAAUAGAUUCGUCUCGCGAUUUAGCUUAGGGGUUGUACAAUUAAUUUUGUAAUUAGUCUAUAUUUAAUACUCCUAAUUAGUGUCAAAUAUCCGAUGUGACAGGGGCUAAAGUUUAACGCUAGUCUCCCAAACACCCCCCUAAGCAGUAUCACUAACAUCUGCCGUCCAACAACCACUCAACGCUCCGGAUUGAAUGUCCUUCUCAAGACUCUUCUUCCUCCUCCAUCCACUGCAUCCAUCCUACGGCGAUUUGGCUCACUCAGUCCAUACACAGCACCAAAACGAAAUCACUCUAAGAAGCCAUGGGUAAGAGAGAGGAUGUAUGAGCAGCUUGGCUAAAACUCUCUACUCCACGUACAGAUUCUCCUCCUUCUCCCCUCCAUGAACCAAUUCUUCUUUGUUUCUCUAUUGACUUAAAUCAGAAAACAAGAAACAAAAAAAAAACAAAGAAACGUUACAAGAACAAGAACACCGUCCCCUGUUACAUGCAUUCAUUUCAUUGGCUGCUCAAAUCCAUCGGAUCACCAAGCCAUUCUCAUCAGCUUAGCUUCCUCAGAAGUCAAAAUGGCAGCUCUUGGCGCUCAUCCUGUAAAUCUUAAGCACC
RNAcentral lists this long non-coding RNA (22930 nucleotides) under Setaria viridis. Its description in RNAcentral is "long non-coding RNA (SVIR_LNC002472)". The record is from RNAcentral. Lineage: Eukaryota; Viridiplantae; Streptophyta; Magnoliopsida; Poales; Poaceae.